Zingiber officinale is the source of this 1235-nucleotide long non-coding RNA. RefSeq lists it as uncharacterized. The record is from RefSeq and is a predicted model, not a curated record. The transcript has 4 exons. NCBI's taxonomy places the organism in Eukaryota, Viridiplantae, Streptophyta, Magnoliopsida, Zingiberales, Zingiberaceae.
ACCAAAAAUCUAGCCUCCAAAACUCAUCUCACCAAAACUUCACAACUCCACGAAAAACUGAUCUCAGUCAAAACCCUCCUCCGCCCCAAAACCCAUCUCCGCCAAUGGAGACAGCGGCGGCGGUUUCUUCCCAGCAGCCUUCCCUCUCCAAUCCUUCGCCAGUAACGACCCUUCCCAAGCUCUUCGUGUCUCUUUCAAUGUCUCUCUCAUCCGUUCACCUCAUUUUCCCAUUUCUUCCCGGAAGCACAGGGCAGUUUGUUGUAGUUGGAGCUCUCCUGAGGCUGGCUCCUGUGCUCAUAGAAAAGGGAUUUAUUAAAUUAGAUCAUUUUUUUUCCUUAAAGUUGUUCUUGAAAGACAUUUUUUUCUCUUCUAAUGUUGAUCUGAACUUGAUUGACAGGGAUGAUCUGAUAGUGAAUUUAUGCCUAUGCCAAUCAAUUUUCUCUUGGAUUCUUUAUCAUUGACCUUUGCUACCAUUUAAUGGGAGCCCAAUUGGUUUGCAUUUUAUUCUCUUAAUCUAAAAGGGUGAUUGCCAUGACUAGCACAUAGCACAUUAGGCAUUAUAAUACCUAACCAUCUUGAAAUGGUCAGCACUUUCUACACCAUUAACUUCCUUGUAAAAUGUCAUGUAUCUAUGUAAAUAUUUGGAUAUUCUUUAAAAUUGAAAAAGUGAUAUGCUUAUGCAGGAUGCAUGUCCAUUAAUUGCAUUAUUAUAUUUGUGAAUAUUUGUGCAUAUUUCAUUUAUAUAUGAAAAAGGCUGGCUAUUGCCAAAAGUUGUGACUAGUUAGAAACAUUUCACUUGUUGCAGUUACAAUAUACUUCAAAGAAAAAAUCAGUCGAAUGACUAGCUGCGUAAGCUACCGGAAAUAGUCAAGCUCUUGGAGGAAGUGUAACAGGGAGGAAUAUCUUGCCCAUCAAUUGCUCGACGGAAUGUUCCUUGCGCUAAGUUGAUGUCAAUGCCAUGAUAACGAUCAAGGAGCGGUAUCAGAUCUAGAGGAAUUGGAUGGGAGAUCCAUGUUCCCCUAGUGCUUUUGUUUGGGAUGGACUAAAUUGUACUUAUAACUAGUCAAAUUCUCCAAGGGUCACUGCUUUGUGAGUUCUACGAGGUCAUUUAUCUCAAAUUAUUUAUCAUGAAAUACUACUGGGGCCAGCCGUUUGAAAAUUCUGUAAUAUUUUUAAUAGUCAUUAUUGUUCUGCAAUAAUCUAUCAUCAAGUGGAUUGACCAAAUAAAUAACCAA